Egretta garzetta (little egret) is the source of this 5387-nucleotide long non-coding RNA. RefSeq lists it as uncharacterized. Lineage: Eukaryota; Metazoa; Chordata; Aves; Pelecaniformes; Ardeidae. The record is from RefSeq and is a predicted model, not a curated record. The transcript has 3 exons.
CAACAGACUUGUGAGAAACAAGGUAAUACAAGAACUUCCAACUUAAUGUCAAUGCAGAAAUUAAGUAGGUAGGCUCAAUGCUACUGUUGUGUAAAUAGUUAACAAUAUAGUAGUGUUUUACCGGUUGCAUAGUAUUGCCCAGCAUGGAAGAAAGCUGGUAAUUUUGGGGUUUGAUCUGUGUAAAGAUACUGUGCUUGUAGAAGUUCUUCUGAUACUCUGCUAUUUAUUCAGAAUAGAGACAACAGAGGCUUUAUUUUUACCUCUAGAUUACCAUACUUACCCAAAUUAUAAGGCACUCUUCCUUUUUUUUUAUUUUUCUGAAAGAAAAUAGGGCUUCCACUCAGCAUGUAUUUUAAAAGGACAAUAUAGCCUCAAAGUCCACUAACGUCCUUUUCCAGAACCAUUCCUCAUUUUUCUUUCUUUUACUUGUUAACACCCACUGGGCUAAGGACUGCUUUGCAAGAUACAGUGUAAUUGCACUCAGCUUUGGACUUGAGAAGGUUUAAUGGAUGAUGGCUUUCAUGUCCCAUGUGAGGCUCAGCUGUAGCAGGAAGACUGGGCUGGCUACAGAGCGCUGAGAUAUCUGCAACUUCACAUCCCUCUUGUUGGUCCUGGAGCUCCUACCCCAGUGUGUGUGGCUGGUACAGAAUAUCGUUGCUCAGCUUGUACCCAGCCAUUGUAGGUAAAUGAACCCUCAGUCUCCUCUUGUAGAGGAGAGAAUGACACAAUACCUCUUCUCAACAUAUAGUCCAGGGACAUAAAGGGGACAAUUUCUAUUAUUUUUCUUAAAAUUCAGUUUGAGGAAGGGAUUAAUAGCUUAGCCUCACUUUUUUUCAAUGCAAUGUUGUAACACAUGUAUUUAUUUUCUUGUGCUGGAGGAAUAACAUCUCAAACAUAAAAGGUAAUAUCUAUGCCACUUUGCACCAACUGUCUCUGCAAAACGAUGUACUGUUGAAAGUACCUGGCAUCACUUAGCGGAGAAGAAUGAACUUUGUUUCUUGAGAUCACGGAGGCUUACAUCUGUGGCAGCCUGAGUUUUAGAUCUUAGUUUUGUAAAAGUGGAGAGGCUGCUCAUGUGGGACAGUGGCUGUGGGAAAAAAAAAAUGUUGUUAAAACAGCUGAAGCUGGGUGUUUGUGUGAAAUUCAACUUUUUCAGGCUUUUUCAGUUCUAAACCGUAACACAAGGUGGCAGUCUAUGUCAUCACUAGUAAUUUCUGUAUCAGUGAUCUCAACAAAUUGAGGCAUGGGGUGGAAAAACUAGUUGAUGUCACAUUGUCAAAUAUUGGUGAAGAUCCCAGCUUCUCUAGAGUAGGAACACUUGGAAAGUACUGAGUUUUUUAAUGGUGCUAGAAAACUCAUAGUGUUUGUUUUCACUAGUAAAUGGGGAAGAAAGCCAGCUUUAUUCUCUACUAACAAAGCUGUUCAAAGUGAUACAUGUAUGACAUGCUUCUCUUUAUUUUGAAGUCCUGGGCUAAGAGAACAGAAGUUGUCCUUCUGCGUUUCAGGAAUAUAUGGAUGUGUUUGUAAUAUCCUUCAAAGAUACUUGCCUGAUGCUCCAUCCUGGUGUAUCAAUACAACUGACAUGAUUCCAUGCACUACACAGAAAGCAUGAAGAAUGAGUCUGCAUGGAUCUGCUGUUGUUACACCUUGAUGAGAACUUAACGGCAAGGAGCCAGGGGAUUUGAAAGUAUUGGCUUCAAUUCUACCACUUUUGUGGCCUUGGGGAAAUGACUUAGUUACUGUUACUCCAUUCACUGAAUGGUUUUAUUGAGGCUUUGCUGAAUUAUGAGCAAGUUUCUUAAUGCCUAAAUUUGAAGUCUGUUUAGGUGCAACGCUAUAACCUCCUGUUGGAAGCACAAAUGUUCUGCACUAGUAUUUGUGUAGCUCAGAUGCAUUCAAUCCAGAUAAAAUGUGUUCAAAGGUAACUUCGAGUAGAGGAGACCUCCAUCAUGACUGAGUAAAUCGGAGCUUUCGUGAGAGUUGGAAGAGAGAAAAAUUCCACCUUUGAGAGGGGGCUACUUUGAUAACUGUAGUGUAACUUGUUCUCCUAUUUCUUACUCAUCUUAACCUGUCUGAAAGAUGAAUACCUGAGCUCUGGAGGUGAUUGGUGGCAUAUCUAUUUUAGGCCUGUCUGCUGAUAUCAGUGCUGCUGAAUCUGAGGGUGUGAUACUUUUUUUUUUUUCAGGCAUUUUCUCAAUGGAAGAGGGCAUAAUUGCACGAUUUUUUUUGUAUCUUGAACAGUGUUGAUACUGGAUGCUCUAAGAGAGCUCUUACUUGGGGAUGUCUCAUCUCUGCUUGGCAUUCAGUAUUGCUGCUUUCUGAGGUAAUGUGACCAAGAGUUCAAAAGUCUUCAGCACACUUUUUUGCUGUGGCAUCAUUGAUACUUAAAACUAUGUAGCUGAGGUUCAGCGUGCUGGCAACACAGAUCUUGCCAUAGUCUGAGAAGAAGAUUGAUGUGUUAAAAAUUAAAGCAUAUAGUAACUGUUGAGUACGUAGGCGUUUGGUGUGCUUGUUGCUGCUCAGAAAGGCUUUGCAAGUUGCUUUCUGUUUCAGUGGAAGGUUAGCUCAACUUACUGUGUGUGGAUCCUGUUGUAUCAUGAUGGAGAAAUUAAUGCUUAAUGUUUAUUGGGGUAAAUGUUUACACUAACACUCACGAUUUCAAACGUCUCCCAGUACAAAUGAACUAUGAAGCUAUUUAGAACUAUUCUUAAAAAACCUCUGCUUGCUGUGUUGUAAGAUACAUGUGAGCAAGAUUAGGUGUGUAGUAUCUUUGUUGUCUUUGGCUCUUCCUCUGUAUUUCAAUCUCCAGGAAAUCUGAAGACUGAAACUUUUGGUAGGGGAAUUCUCUGAAGUGAAGUCACAGAAGGGUUGGUUUGGAAUAUCUCCCUUCCUCUUCCUGUCCAUCAAAAAGAACUUUUUCAAAAAAAUUCCAGUUUUCCAAAUUUUAAAUGCAUUCAAUGCCAACAAUUUGUCUGUCCUCUGUUAUCCCAUUUGUCAUUAACUGAAAAUGUUAAAUAAUCAUAAAAAUGUUGUAUCUUGUACUGCCGCUACAGGCAGCUGAUGUUAGUGAACUGUCAUUUAAAGGAGGAUGUUUUUCUCUUAUCUUCUGUUUUCCCCACUGAACAAAAUACCAAACCUUUGGGCCUCAUUUCUAUUCUUCACGGGUCUGUGUGUUUAGUUUCAGCUUUGCUGCUGCUUUUAGCUGUACAGUUGGGCCUCUCCCAGCUCAGUGCUUAGAGAUGUGGAAGAAACUACCUAUUGGUGCACUCUGGAGCUACAGAAGCUGUUGAAAAACAUGCCAGAUCUGUAUAGAUAUGAUGUGUCAAGAGGGGUCUGCUGGGUAGUUCUUUUCUGGAAAUCACCUGAAGACCAAACCUCUGCAAGUGAAGAGCGUGUCGACUCUUAACGUCCAUUUUCUUCAUCAGUUUUUCUGGAAGCUGAACAGAAAAGUAAAACCAACAUCACUUUGACAAUGCUCUAAUACCCACAAGCUGAAAACUUCAGAUUUGUUGACUGGCAAGGAACAUAUGAGAAGUAGCUCAUCACUGCACUGAGAAUUGGUCUUCCCUCAGGAGGAUUAUUAAUGAAUAUCUGAACUGUGGUAAAGAUGUCUCCAAGCUGACACUGGUGUUCCACACUGGUGUACGACUGGAAUAGAUGAGGCAGGAAAGACGUGAGGCAACUACAACUUCACUCCAUUGUACAGAAGAAGCAUCAGCACAGAGAUGAAGCAGCUUUGCCCCAGCUAGAGUGCAAGUCUGAAACGGAGUUGAAAACUGAACCCAGUCAUCCAGAGGCCCGAGUCUGUGGCUGAAUUACAAGCCCAUCUAAUGUCAUGAGGAUUUAUACAAGAACUAUCACUGUAUAAAAAAGAGGAGAAGCACUGUGAAGCACCAGCGUCUUGCUUUAUGGUGGUGUUUGCAUUAAAUGUUCUCUUCCUCAUCUGUUUACUCACACCACCUCGCAGACCAUCUCAUCAAUCCGUCUUGCUUCUACAGACCUUGUGGCUGAUGUUCCCUGGAAACUCCCUGAGGAUUGAUUGGGUUGUGUAAGUGAUGAUGUGCUCCUGAGGAUUUUUGACAGCAGAACUUAGGAAUUAAUACUACGGGGUUUAGUUUUUUCAGUUAAACUGUUAUCUGAUGCACACCUGAAAUGCCACCAUCACACUGUAGUGUUUCUUAUCAUGUGUGGACAGCUGCCUGGCUGCAAAUGGAUGGAGUGCCCCGUGCUGUAGUCAGGCCACGUUGUGAGUAAGCUCAGUGGGGUCAGAAUAAAGUAAAACUCCUAGUAGAGUAAUGCUCUAAAUGGCAUUGGAUGAGGGGACACUAGGAGGGGUCUGGUGUUUCUUUCUUAGCUCAUUCAUUCCUGGCAUAGUAACAGCAUAUCGUGUGCUGGAGGAGGCAGUCACUGGGAUGGAUAGGAGCUGUGGAUUUCCUGGUCUGUUGUUAUCUCUCUUGGUAGAGUCUCAUAAAUCAGGAAGCCUGUACCUCACAGCUGUGGCCAGAUUGCAGUCCAGACCCUUGGUGCUCAGUUUUCUAUGGUUCGGUUUCACCUCUUGCUCCUGGCUUUAGUAAACUUGUCUUUUGUCUCAAUAUGUCAGGUUAUCAUGUUAAUCUGGUUGCUGUUUUUCAUCACACAUGACCACGUUUCCCUGUGAGGUUAGGAACUGUGAAGUGACCUUAAAACCAAGUAGCACAUUUGUGCUUCUGAAAGAUGGCUUAGUCAUUAUUAUAUACUUCUUUUAUACCCCUGAAGGGUGCUUGGUCUUUGGAGCGUGGAACAGGCAUAUGGGGGGAAUUUUCAUCUGAAAGGCAUCGUGCCAAAGUUUAGCAGCAAUUAUUAAGUGAGGUGAUGGGAACAUUAAAUGCUAAUUAACAGUGUAGAUUACAUUCUGAGAUCAGUAUUGCAUGGACUGGCUACCUGGUGCAGUAUCACCAUCCUAUGUAUGUGGAGGUGAACCAGCUGGUUUACAUGUUUAAUGCUGAAGAAACUCAAAGAUACAGGACCUCAUGUAGUUCAGCUAUGGUAUAAAUGUAAUCUCCAGCAGUGAUUGCCUACUGUGUAGAAUGGCAAUGGUUUCUACCCACUAGAAAUGAAUUCCAGGAAAGCACGUGACUUAUUUUGUUCACCUUACUUUUGCUAAUAGAAAGAAACUGAGAGCUUUCAUCAGCGGCAGCAAGUUUUGCAUUGAGUGAGGAUCCUUGUCUCAUAACAGAUGUACUUAUUUGCAUGGGAGUGAGCUAAUUUCCAAUGAUGGGCUCAGAAUGGGUUCGUGUAAUUCAGCUGCUAAAUCUGCCAUUUCCCGCUGAGAAGUGAAGAGGGAGUUGAAAUCAUCUAUGAAGGGAAGAGACCAGGUACCUGCGAGGAGCUUGGCCAAGUGUGUUCAA